GCCAGAGCAAACUGAGCGAUGCGUUUGAUGCGUCGCACGACGCAAAGUUGGCGACGACUAAACGGCCAAUUGCUUAUGUGUGCGCUCACCGAGUAACGACAAGGUGUUGAAAGCGCAAAAAUGAGCAGCGAGGUCGUUAACGGACGCUGAAGCGUUUUGUUGUUGAGAAGUGAACGCGUUUUCUCUCGUAGACGAUAGAUAUUCCAGAGAGAGAUGACGGUGAAAAGGCGUCAAGUUUUUGAAACGCUAGACGAAGUGCGUCACACCCGAAUGGGGUGCUUGCCAAUCGGAUAGAAAUGCUCGUUAGGAAGAGACGAGAAGAACGCGCGAUAUUUCCGCUAAAGCGCGUUUUCAGAGGUGCACAAGUUCGUUUAAGCCGAGUGCACAAAGUGUGCCGGUUAUUAACUGUGCAUCUCCCCGAUUGAUUCUGUCGGCGGUUAUAUGCUUAUCUCAAAGGCUAAGCAUGCAUGUCUAAGUUCAAAUGGCCUAUAAAGGUGAAACCGCGAACGGCUCAUUACAACAGCUAUUAUAUACUUGAUCUUGAUAUCCUACGUGGAUAACUGUGGUAAUUCUAGA
This 576-nucleotide small RNA is filed under the name Ascaris lumbricoides (common roundworm). RNAcentral describes it as "partial precursor RNA". The stretch from base 415 to 576 matches the Rfam family "Eukaryotic small subunit ribosomal RNA", at positions 1 to 162 of the family's 1831-position model. The record is from RNAcentral. Lineage: Eukaryota; Metazoa; Nematoda; Chromadorea; Rhabditida; Ascarididae.